UCGUGUUCACGGCCAGGCUCUGCAGGUCUAGCUCGACACACACUGACAAACAGAACAUUGGAAAAUUAACAUUCGUUCCUCCCAUUGACGGAAAGAUUGUAUCCCAGCAGAGACAUCAGAUUCAUUGGCUUUUGCUUGAUCUUAGCAAGGGACAAAAAUGUUAUCGCCUUUCAAAUUUCAAUAGUCUAUACUGGAUUGCAUGAAGAGAUGUUAGGAACACCGGUCGUCACUUUCCAUAACCAUACGGCUGUCAUCUGCCUCUUUGCCUCCCAUGUCGGGCCUUGCCGUGGGGGAGAGCCAAAGCAGGUGGUUGUGUUUCCGCAGAUGUCUGGCCAGGAAUAAGUCAGAACCAAAGAUAGACACAUCCUGGGGCAGGUUCCCUACAGGUGGCGGCGGCCCCAGGACCUCUCGCCAGGAUUGAGUGAGCUCAAGAUCCUGAGACUCGACCUGGCUGUUAUCCCCCUGAGACGCUCGCUUCCUUUUUGUGCUGAUGGGAAUGGCCGGCUGCAGAGGCCUGGCUGGCAUCCCAAAGUCCUCCAUGUCAGAAACUUGACGGCUUGUGAGGGGCUGAUGAGCCACCUGAAGGAGAACCACAAAUAUUCAACCCCCAAAGUAUUUCCUUUACACAUUCUGGGAGCAUAAUAGACUUGUAUUUACUGUUGAUGUCUCGGUCUUUUGUUUAAUUCCUAACAGGAUACCUUACCCAAUAAAGAUUUAAGGAGUUUUCUUGCUGUGAGGUAACCUACCUGCCUCUUGCCUUCACUGGUGAACAAUUCGCUGAUUUUCUUUUGCUUGUAGAUGUCAUUUUUCUCAAGAAGUUUCUUGUGAAGCCAGUCGGGAUGUUGCACUCGUGGAACCGGAUUCUUCACCUAAUCAUUAACACAAGGUAAACAGACGAUACAGAGAUGAGAAAAUAAAUGUUGUUUUAUUUAAAAUGUAAAUAAGGUAGUUAAAACAUAAUUAUUUUCAGUGUUACCCACAGGACGGAAAUGUAUAUAUGAUGCAAAAUGAUAUAAUUGUGUCAUAAUUGCAAAACUGUCCAUGAGGUAAAACUCAUUGUGUGUGGACUAAGAA
Molecule: long non-coding RNA, 1074 nt
Organism: Nerophis ophidion (straightnose pipefish)
Lineage: Eukaryota; Metazoa; Chordata; Actinopteri; Syngnathiformes; Syngnathidae
Exons: 3
Source: RefSeq, a predicted model, not a curated record